Molecule: ribosomal RNA, 468 nt
Filed under: uncultured bacterium
Lineage: Bacteria
Description: partial 16S ribosomal RNA
Rfam family: Bacterial small subunit ribosomal RNA
Source: RNAcentral
GACGAACGCUGGCGGCGUGCUUAACACAUGCAAGUCGAACGGAAAGGCCCUGCUUUUGUGGGGUGCUCGAGUGGCGAACGGGUGAGUAACCCGUGAUUAACCUGCCCUUGACUUUGGGAUAACUUCAGGAAACUGGGGCUAAUACCGGAUAGGAGCUCCUGCUGCAUGGUGGGGGUUGGAAAGUUUCGGCGGUUGGGGAUGGACUCGCGGCUUAUCAGCUUGUUGGUGGGGUAGUGGCUUACCAAGGCUUUGACGGGUAGCCGGCCUGAGAGGGUGACCGGCCACAUUGGGACUGAGAUACGGCCCAGACUCCUACGGGAGGCAGCAGUGGGGAAUAUUGCACAAUGGGCGGAAGCCUGAUGCAGCAACGCCGCGUGCGGGAUGACGGCCUUCGGGUUGUAAACCGCUUUCGCCUGUGACGAAGCGUGAGUGACGGUAAUGGGUAAAGAAGCACCGGCUAACUACGUG